This 256-nucleotide ribosomal RNA is filed under the name uncultured bacterium. RNAcentral's name for it is "partial 16S ribosomal RNA". The record is from RNAcentral.
CUGCUGCCUCCCGUAGGAGUUUGGGCCGUGUCUCAGUCCCAAUGUGGCCGGUCACCCUCUCAGGUCGGCUACUGAUCGUUGCCUUGGUGAGCCGUUACCUCUCCAACUAGCUAAUCAGACGCGGGUCCAUCUCAUACCACCUCAGUUUUUCACACCAAACCAUGCGGUUUUGUGCGCUUAUGCGGUAUUAGCAGUCAUUUCUAACUGUUAUCCCCCUGUAUGAGGCAGGUUACCCACGCGUUACUCAUCCGUCCCG